RNAcentral lists this ribosomal RNA (1938 nucleotides) under Triticum aestivum (bread wheat). RNAcentral's name for it is "partial small subunit ribosomal RNA". The record is from RNAcentral. Lineage: Eukaryota; Viridiplantae; Streptophyta; Magnoliopsida; Poales; Poaceae.
AUGGCGGCGGAGCUUCCGGAGACGAUGGACGCGCUGGCGCAGCGGGUGAGCGCGCUGCGGGCCUCGCUGCAGAGCAGCCAAGGGAACACGGAGGGCAUGGUCGCCAUCCUCGGCUCCUUCGACCAGCGCCUCUCCGAGCUCGAGGCCACCAUACACCCCAUCCAGGUGAGGGCGCACGCGACCCAGAUGGCGCAUGAGAACAUCGACAAGGCGAUCAAGGUCGCCGAUGACAUCCUCGCCCAGAUCGUCAUCGUCCGCGAGGCAGAAGCUACGAUAUUGAGGGGGCCCCAUGUGGAUCUGGAGGGCUACCUGAAAGCUGUGGGUCAUCUGAAAGACGCUGUUGGUUUUUUCUCCUCGAGGGAGAACUUUACGAGUAAAGAACGAUUUCUGAAUGAUGUAAACGUUCUCUUAUCUAAGUCUUCACUGAUGGUUGAGGAAGAAUUCAAGUGGUUGAUGACAACAUACAGCAAACCUAUUGAGGGUGAUCUUAUAUUGGGUUCGCCUCCAAAGCUUCGAUGGGCGUCAGAUGGCGAUGCUGAAGCAGAUGGACGAAAUUCUGCCCACUCCGAGCAUCCAUCCAAAGACUUGGAAACUGCCAUUUGCGGGACUCCAGCACUGAUCCCCUCUAGAAUAUUACCCCUUCUUCAUAGUAUAGCUCAGAAAUUGGUUCAGGAUGGAAACCAGCAGUCAUGCUACAAAAUUUACAGAGAUGCUCGUCGUUCGGCAUUAGAACCGAGUCUUCGGAAACUGGGAGUAGAAAAGCUUAGUAAAGAUGAUGUAGAAAGAAUGCAAUCGGAUGCUUUAGAAGCUAAAAUUGGAAAGUGGACCAAGUAUUUGCAAAUUACAGUGAAACUCCUUGCUGGAGAACGAAAAAUUUGUGAUGAGGUUUUUGAAGGUAUCAGUUUCAACAAGGAUCAGUGUUUCACUGAACUGGCAAGAACUGGAGUUGCUGUUGCUAAAACUCUUCUCAGCUUUGGAGAUGCUGUUGCUAAAAGUAAAAGGUCUUCUGAAAAGUUGUUUGUACUGCUGGAUAUGUAUGAAGUAAUGCAUGAAGUUAGAUCCGAGGUUGAAGUUAUUUUUCAAGACAGUUUUUGCUCGGAGAUGCGUGAGGCUGCAUUGGGCUUGAUGAAGCUCUUGGCACAGACUGCCCACGAAAUGUUUGUUGAUUUUGAGGAAUUAGUUGAGAAGGAUACUUCGAAGACUAACGUCCAUGACGGAACUGUCCAUCCUUUGACUAUCCGUGUGAUCAAUCAUGUUAAAUUCCUUUUUGAUUAUCAGUCAACACUGAAGCUACUAUUUCAAGAAUUUGAAACUGGAAGUGAUACUGAAUCCCAACUUGCAGUUGUUUUGACAAAGAUAAUGCAAGCUCUUCAGAACAACUUAGAUGGGAAAUCUAACCAGUACAAGGAUCCUGCGCUGAUGAGCAUAUUUCUUGCGAACAACAUUCACUACAUGGUUAGUUCUGUUCGCAGAUCAGAAGCCAAGCAUAUACUUGGUGAUGACUGGAUUCAGAUACAUCGUAGGAUUGUACAGCAACAUGCCAAACAAUACAAAAUGGUUGCAUGGGGAAAGGCUGUUCAGACGCUCUCCAUUCAAGUUGCCAGCAGCAGUGGUACAUCAGCAUCGUCUGAUCUUAGCAGCAGUGGAGUUUCAAGAGCUAUGAUCAAAGAAAGGUUGAAGUCUUUCAAUAUGCAAUUUGAAGAGCUUCGUGCAAAGCAAUCUCUAUGGACCAUACCUGAUCAAGAACUGAGAGAAACUCUGAGGCUUUCUAUAGCUGAAGUUCUCUUGCCAGCCUAUAUGUCCUUCGUUAAACGUUUUGGGAAUCUUGUUGAAAAUGAAAAGAAGCCUCGUAAAUACUUGAAAUACCAGCCAGAUGAAUUGGACCAGUUGCUGGGUCAGUUCUUUGAAGGACAACAAUCUGUUGAACAGAAGAAGUAA